AACGAACGCUGGCGGCAUGCCUAACACAUGCAAGUCGAACGAGACCUUCGGGUCUAGUGGCGCACGGGUGCGUAACGCGUGGGAACCUGCCCUUAGGUUCGGAAUAACUCCCCGAAAGGGGUGCUAAUACCGGAUAAUGUCUUCGGACCAAAGAUUUAUCGCCUUUGGAUGGGCCCGCGUUGGAUUAGCUAGUUGGUAGGGUAAAAGCCUACCAAGGCGACGAUCCAUAGCUGGUCUGAGAGGAUGAUCAGCCACACUGGGACUGAGACACGGCCCAGACUCCUACGGGAGGCAGCAGUGGGGAAUAUUGGACAAUGGGCGAAAGCCUGAUCCAGCAAUGCCGCGGGAGUGAUGAAGGCCUUAGGGUUGUAAAGCUCCUUUACCCGGGAUGAUAAGGACAGUACCGGGAGAAUAAGCUCCGGCUAACUCCGG
Molecule: ribosomal RNA, 432 nt
Filed under: uncultured bacterium
Lineage: Bacteria
Description: partial 16S ribosomal RNA
Rfam family: Bacterial small subunit ribosomal RNA
Source: RNAcentral